CCACAAAUGAGCCUCCUGAGGAUGUUCUGCUGAAGCACACUUGCUUUCCUUGAUGAUCAUCCUUAUUGAUUUGAGGUCUUGGUGGAUUCCAUUUUACUUCACCUGCAUUACAUUAUAAUACCUGAGAGUAUGGAAUACCCUCUGACAACUGCCUGGUGUCUUUGAGCAUAUUGAACUUGAGCCACUAAUGUGUUUGGGCUGAGCAGAAGCUAAAGGGUUCAAUUGAUGGGUUCCUGAGGUAGAAGAAAUGGUUUCCAUGAUCCCAAAGCUUCAAGGAACACUUUGCAUCUUGACUAAGGUAAUUUGAAGGUUCUCCUUUUAGUACCUGGGAGAAAUAUCACCAAUUUCUUUUCUCUUGUCUUUCUGUCAUCCUGAGUGAUUUCAGUUGGAUGGAGAACUUUCCUUGUUCUUCUAUUUAAUACUGACUCUCCUUUUACCAACCACUCAAUUAAAAAAAGCUAUGGUCAACUGAACAAAAAGGCAACUUUCAGUAUGGGAGAAUGUAUUUGUGAGUGAUUUAUCUGAUAAGAGGUCAACAUCCAAAAUAUAUAAAGAACUCAUAUGACUCAACACCAAAAAAACACAAAUAUCCUGAUUAAAAAAUGGGCAGAGGACCUGAACAGACACUUUCCAAAGAAGAAAUACAGAUGGCCAACAGGCACAUGAAAAGAUGCUCCAUUUCAUUAAUCAUCAUGGAAAUGUAAAUCAAAACCACAAUGAGAUGUCACUUCACACCAGUCAGAAUGGCCACUAUCCAAAAAACAAGAAAUAGCAAGUGUUAGUGAGGAUGUAGAGAAAAGGGAACCUUCCUACACUGUUGGUGGGAAUGUAACUUGAUGCAACCACUGUGGAAAGUGGUAUGGUAGUUCCUCAAAAAACUAAAAAUAGAAAUACCAUACAACCCAGUAAUUCCACUUCUAGGAAUUUACCCGAAGAAUACAAAAUUCCUGAUAUGAAAAGAUAUAUACACCCCUAGUGUUUAUUGCUGCAUUAUUUAUAAGAGCCAAGAUAUGGAAGCAACCAAUGUGUCCAUCAAAAUUAAUAGAUAAGGAAGAGGUGGUACACACAUCAACAAGAAAAAGGACAAAAAUCACAUGAUCAUCUCAAUAGAUGUUG
Molecule: long non-coding RNA, 1116 nt
Organism: Manis pentadactyla (Chinese pangolin)
Lineage: Eukaryota; Metazoa; Chordata; Mammalia; Pholidota; Manidae
Exons: 3
Source: RefSeq, a predicted model, not a curated record